Molecule: ribosomal RNA, 253 nt
Filed under: uncultured bacterium
Lineage: Bacteria
Description: partial 16S ribosomal RNA
Rfam family: Bacterial small subunit ribosomal RNA
Source: RNAcentral
GACAGAGGGGGCAAGCGUUGUUCGGAAUUACUGGGCGUAAAGGGCUCGUAGGUGGCCAACUAAGUCAGACGUGAAAUCCCUCGGCUUAACCGGGGAACUGCGUCUGAUACUGGAUGGCUUGAGUUCGGGAGAGGGAUGCGGAAUUCCAGGUGUAGCGGUGAAAUGCGUAGAUAUCUGGAGGAACACCGGUGGCGAAGGCGGCAUCCUGGACCGACACUGACGCUGAGGAGCGAAAGCCAGGGGAGCAAACGGG